Long non-coding RNA from Mytilus trossulus (common blue mussel), 3945 nucleotides. RefSeq lists it as uncharacterized. Lineage: Eukaryota; Metazoa; Mollusca; Bivalvia; Mytilida; Mytilidae. The transcript has 3 exons. The record is from RefSeq and is a predicted model, not a curated record.
AGCCAAUCCGCCAGAAAACCAUGCAAUAUUCAGAAAAUCGUCCAAAUCGACAAUCACAACUUGACAAUUUUUUAUAUAUCAUCUCAAUCCUCUACAUAAAAUAAAAAAAAAUGGCUACUUAAUUUUCGCCAGAAUCAUAUCUAUUUUUAGUAACAGCCUCAUUUGCAUAAUUAUGUAAAUUCAUUCGAAAACCAAGGAAAAAUCCAACUUUUAAUGCCUUUUAAGAACUACCCAGAAGCAUAUUAAAUGGGGGAGUUGAGUUUUUAGAGUAAUGUCAGCUGGAAUCCAUUCAUUUUACUAUGUUCUGGUCAAUACAAAUGAAAAUUUAAACUAUUUGGCACAUUGCCAGGAGCACGGACGCAAAGGCUAGAUUUUUCAUACAUGAAUUUACAUGACUUUUACUUGCUUCUAACUUGCAAGACCUAUUCCAUAUAUGUUUGCAACUUAUAUUAGUUUUAAUUAUGGUGUAUUUUUUAUAAUAGAUUAAAGUAUUAAGCUUGGCAAAUGACUAUUACAUGUUAAUUUUUGCCUUGGAAGAAUGGUGAUUUUAGUCCCAAAUUGGCACAUUUUGAUUUUGAUUUUAAUUUAAUUCUAAAUACAAUUGUAAUAAAAUAGCUAAUAAAAUCAUUUAAAAAAGUAAAAUAAAUGUGUCUAAAAAUUUAAAUAAGACGUUUUUGUACUGCAAGUGCAAAAAUCAAUAAAUUGGCUGAAACCAGGGAGUACAUCUUUUAUGCUCUUCCAUUGACUUAUCUCCCUUGGGCAACAUGUCAGCUCCCAGUGAUGGACUUGGCAGACAAAGUUUACAGCGAAGUUUGCAACUUUAAUAAUCUAGGAGGCUAUCCCAGCAUUAUGCAUCUACAUAUUACAAACUAUUUAAGAUUUCUGAAUGCACUAAAGAACAAAAGAAUAAUUACUGCCAAUGCAAGAAUCUGCCAAAUUCAUGACAAUAAUUUACCAGACAAUAAUCAUAACUUAGUGAAUAAACAUGAUGCAAACUAUGGUGUAGAAUUUCCAACAGGAGUCCUUGUUUUAUAUAAGACGAGGAGUGGUUUAUUUUCCUAUGGUUGUUAUAUCAUCUCGUCUUAGACAUGUUAGAAUAUGCUUGAAGUACAGGGACUUUUAUGGAAUAAUUUCAUUGACAUCAUAGUCAAGCAAGAUGUCAACAUCCCGUCCAACCGUCUUCCAGCAAAGCCAAUUUGAAAGCUGACCAAGGAUCUUCAUCAUUUCCUGACAGGGUGUAUACAGGACGAGUCAUUCCACUAGGAUCAGGACUAUUGUCAUGAUAAUAGAUGCAGGCAAUGCUGAUGAUUUUUGUGAAUGUGACAAUAGCCAGGUCAAACUAAAUACAUGUAAAGAACAAGAUACUGAUCUAGACUCACAACUAACUGAACUUUACAGCAGUCAACAUCAGAUUGGAAGACUGAUAAUGCUUCUGACAGAAACAAUUUCAACCAACCAAACAAGUAACAGAAACUUUGCAUCUUUAAAACACUACUUACAUCUUCCAUGGGAUGAUGUUCCAAAAAAUAACAGUUCAUCAUUAAUGAAGAUUUUUAUGUUAUGGAUUUUCUUUUACAAGAAAGUUAAUGUACACUUGUUUUUAUAGUAAAACCUUGCUGUUCAAGUAUCAAAAAAACAUUUAACUUUAUUGAAAUUUGAAGAUUCAUAUGACUUGUUUUAAUUUUGUUAUUUCUCAGGAUGUCAUGUAGAGGUACAGUCAUGACAGUAAUCUAAACAGCUAUUCAAUUUCAUUCAAAAUUCUUUGAAAAUUUGGCACUAGUAAAUUUAAACUGAAGUAAUUUGUUUUUCGUCUAGUUAUGGGAUUUUUAUGGCCAGUAACAAAGUAGUCGGUGCCUUAAGUUUUACCCUUGUACUAAAAUACCGAUUUUCCGUAAUUCCAUAAUUCAGUCAUUCCGAAACAAACCAUUAAACUGUGUUUUUUUCUAAACGCCAUAGAUAUUGGCUUGAUUUUUGGUAUGUAAGUUGACUAUGAUGAGUUACAGAUCAAGUAUAAGUUUUGUUCCACUCCCCUAAUUUCUGUUGAAAUUACCCGCUAUGGACUUUGAUAAAUUGUUGAAAAUCACAGUUAUAUGCACUUUUUUCCUAAAAGCUUUCAGAUAUUGGGCUGAUUUUUGGUAUGUGAGUUACAGAUCAAGUUAAAGUUUCGUCAUGCUACCCUAAUAUUUGCUGUAAUUUCGGGCUUUGGACUUUGAAAAAUUUUGGAAAAUCUAAGGUAUAUGGACCUUUCUUCUAUUAAAAUGCCUUCAGAUAUUGGGCUGAUUUUUGGUAUGUGAGCUAACCAUGAUGAGUUACAUAUCAAGUUUAAGUUUCGUUCCGCUGUGUAAUUUUUUCCAGAAUUAAGGGUUUUAAACUUUGAAAAUUGUUCAAAAUUCACAUUUAUAUGGACAUUUUUGUAUAUGCCUCCAGAUUAAGAGCUGAUUUUUUAAUAUGUGAGACAACCAUCAUGUUUGUAUCCACAUGUGUUAUUGAAAUUGCAGAUUUUCAAAUUUUUGAGACGUAGCCUUUCGUGUUGCUUUCACACAUCUAGUUUAAGAUACAUUUAUGAUUAUCAUUUUUGUAUUGACUACAUUACAGUAGAUGCAUUUAUGAUUUUCAUGUUUUUAUUGACCACAUUGCAGCAACGUAGAUAUAUAGGUACCUGGCAAAUAUUACCUUGUUAGCAUACUAGGCUCAAAGGGCCAUAAAAAAGUCCAUCUCUUAGUGUCUGUUAAAAUCAUCUCUAUAUUGCAACUGUUUACAGUUUUCUCUUUUAAACCAUUAUUUUAAAAACUUUAGAAGAAGUAUCAUACAUAUAUAUAUAUAUAUAUAUAUAUAUAUAUACAACUCGUCUUAACAUCAACCCAACAAUGUUAGAUCUGUAAAUUUGCUUUCGCAAAUUUUUGGUUCUUCCCUCGCCGGGAUUCGAACCAAUGCUACUGUGAUAUCGUGACACCAAAUCGCCUGCACUGCAGCAUAUAUAUAUAUUGUAAAACUAUCAAAAUGUCAAGAUCUUUUACUACCCAAAAUUUUUCUGUAAAAUUGGGACGUAACAUCUAUGAGCUAUUGUCCCUGAAGUGUGUAAAGGAGUAGGUCCGGUAAGACCCCUUUUUGGCCCCAAAAUAUAACAGUUUUACAAAAUUGUUAAAAUGUAAACUUUAAGUUAUUUAUUGGACAGUUGAAUGCUUCUGCUACAUAAAAAUGGGCUGUUUUUGACAAUACAAUUGACAUAUAUCGGGUUGUAGCACCAUUAAGUCAUGCUAAAUUACUGAAAUCUUCAAUAUUCUAUCAUUUUAGUUAAAUUUUAGACGGUUUCCGUGUUAACGAAAGUGGCCACAUUCGUGUUCAUUCUUAAUAUUGAAAUGUAAGUUGUAUUUUAUGAUAAUACAUAACAUAUAUAAAGGUUGUGGAUGAACACAGAUGCGACCACUUUCAUUUUUGAUAAAAACCAUCUAAAAAGUGACGUUUUUUGGCAUAUUUGAGAGAUUUUGCAUAUUUGAGCAUGAAUCUGAUUGUCUUAAAUGACUGAAUCAGUUAAAAUCUUUCACAUUUACUAAUUGAAUCAAGUGAAAUAGACACUUAAGUGUUUAAAAAGUGGUCAAAAUCUUUCGUCAGAUGAAACUGAAAUUUGAGGCCAAAAUGAGUCCUUACCGGACCUUCUCCUUUACAAAUUUUCAGAGUUUUCUGCUAAUAUCUGACAGCUAUAUCAAUAUGAUAUAAGAAAAUAUUGCAAAAGUGGUCAGAAAAACUUAUUUUUACAGUCUGAACUUAUUCUGAAUUGUUUUAAAUUUAUUGCUAAUGAAUUAUGUGUUUUUUAUCGUUUUGAGGUGCACAAUUUGUCAAUUCAAGCUAUUUCGGCUCCUGGGAGCCUCUAGAUUUGUAAUGAAUAAUUUGUAUUUGUAUAUGAUUUUUUUCUUAAUGUAUUAAAUGAAACCUUAAUUAAUCUUU